AUGUGUGUCUCAUUGCCUGGGCUUCUUCUCUGAGGUCCAGUUUCUUUAAAAGCUUGCUCCUUGGGGCACCUAGGUGGUUCAGUCAGCAUUGGAAACAUGCUGCUCCAUAUUUGCCAUUUCUCCAAGGAUUCUUUUGAGAACACAGACAUCCUUUAAAUCAUCGUUCUUGGGAUGCUGCCCCAUUUUCUUUGGUUCUUCUUGAAUUCUGUUGAGAAGGCAGCCAUUAUUGAAAUCAUCAUUCCCUGCUAGAAUAUGCUCAAUUAUUGGGAAUGCUGGGACUUGGGUUCACACUGAAUGGGACUGCAUGUGCUUCGAAGUGGGAAAAGUUGAUCACCUGAAAAACAAUGAAUCUUCUGUUAAUAAACUUUGGAUACCAUUCAGCAUUGGGAAGAUUCUUAUUUUUCUCACGUUCUCUAUGGAUUCUUCUGAGAAGGCAGCUAUCUUUUAAAUCAUUUUUGUGGGAUAGAAAUGCAAAGAUGAUGCCCCAUUUUCUCCACUUCUGCAUGGAUACUCUUGAGAAGGCAGGCAUUAUUUAAAUCAGCAUUCCCAGGAUGCUGAUGGCUGCACUGGCACCUUGAGCCACUGUUGUUGGAGGCCAGCAGAGAGUCCACUUAUUGAGGGCCCCUGUGACAGAAAAAAAGGCAUGCCACUGGUGAUUUCGCUGAACCCCGACCCUUGCCGACCCAACAAUAGUUGGCCACUGCUGUGCUCAGAUUCUAGAGGGAAUCAGAAAAUUCUGCCAGGAUGGAGCAUCAGAUUGGGGCACUGGAAACAAGACUGCCCUCAGAAGAGACAACAGAAGUCAGAGCCCCGUAAGCCAUGCCCCUCGUGUGGAGACAAUCACUGGAAGCCUGAAUGCCCACUUGAUGGUGCUGUGGAGUUCAACUGUAUUCUUACUGAUUUUCUGCCUCCUGAAUCUGUUUCUGAUAGUGUUAAUGUCUCCAGCUAUAAUAGUGGAUUCAUGUGUUUCUCUUUGCAGUUAUAUCAGCUCUUUUUCACAUAUUUUGAUACCCUCUUAUUAGGUGCAUGCACAUUAAGGCGUGCUGUGUUUUACUGGAUUAUUGAUCCCUUUAUCAUUAUGUAGUGCCCCUCUUUAUCUCUAAUGAUUUUACUUGAUCUGAACUCCUUUGUGUGUGAAAUUAAUAAAGCUACUCCCCCUUUCUUUUGGUUAGUAUUAGCAUAGCCAUCUCUAUCCCUCUACUUUUAAUCUACGUGUUUCUGUAUACUUAAUUGGUUUUCUUCUAGACAGCAUAUGGCAAGGUCUUGUUUUUUGAUCCAUUCUCACAGUCUGUCAUUUAAUUGGUAUAUUUAUACUGUCGAUGUUGAAAGUGAUUUUUGGUAUAGCUGGAUUAAUAUCUACCAUAUUUAAUACUGCUUUCUAUUUGCUGCCCUUGUAAUCUGUUGUUAUUUUUGACUUCCACACUUCAUCUGCUUUUUUUGUUGGUUUUAAAAUUUACUUCCAGUUUUAUUGAUGUGUAAUUGACAAAUAAAAAUUGCAUUAUUUAAGGUAUACAGCAUGGCAUUUUGACAUAUGUAUUCAUUGUGAAUUGAUUAACAUAUCCAUCAUCUCAACAUAAUUAAGUUUUUUUCUUGGCGAGAACACAUAAGACUUACACUCUUAGCAAAUUUAAAGCGUACAAUACAGUAUUAACCAUAGUCACUGUGCUGUCAGUCAGAUCUCCAGAACUUAACCAUCCUGCAUAACUGAAACUUUUUACCCUUUAACGAGUAUCUCCCCAUUUCCCUACCCGUGGCCUCCUGGCAGCCACCAUUCUGCUCGUAUGGUUUUAAUUGAGCAUUUCAUAUGUUCCAUUUUCUCUCUUAGGAUAUUAAUUAUACUUCAUUUUUUCUUUUUCUUUUCUUUUUUUAGUGGUUGUCUGCCCUAGUGUUUGCAAUACACAUUUGCAUAUAAUCCAGGAACACUUUCCAAUGCAAUUAUAUUGCUUCAUGGGUAGUACAGGUACCUUAUACUAACAAAAUAUUCCUAAUUCCUUCCUCUGUCCAUUGUUAUCAUUGCUGUCCUUCAUUUCACUUAUACAUAGACAUACAUGACACAAAUACACAUGUGACUAUAUAUAUAUAAUUAUCACAUACAUGGCUGGAAUUAUUAUUUUCAACAGGCUUUUAUCUGUUUGUUACAUCAGUUUAGAAAAAGAAAAAGAAAAAUUUUUAUUUUAUGUUUAUUCUUUUUUCAAUAUUCUUCCUUUCUUUUCACAGAUAGGAGUUUCUGACCUAUAUCAUUUUCCCUCCCCCUAAAGAAAUUCUUUUAAUACUUCUUGCAAGGCAGGUCUACUGAAAGCAAACUCCCUCAAUUCUUGUUGGCCUGAGGAGAUUUCCUUUUUCCUUCACUUUUGAAGGAUAAUUUCACAGAGUUCACAAUUCUAGGUUGACCAUGUGACAUAGAACCUUUACUGCUCUAUAGCUCCAUUACCACGCACCUUCACUGUGCUGUUGUUUUUAUACAUAUUAUGUCUACAUAUCUGUUAUGCAACCAACAAUACAUUGUGAAAAUUAUUCCUUUAUGUAAGUGUAUGUCCAUUGAAGAAUCUAGUAGAAAGGAAAGGCUAAAUAUAUUUACAGAUUCUGUUCUAUUUUGUAUUAUAUUAAACUUCUUAUGUCCUAUUUCUUCCUAUGAAUUGGUGGUACCAUUUGGUUUCAUUUCCUUACUCCAGUGUAGCUUCAUUCGCAACCCUUUCCUUUGUGUUUAUUGUCACAUAUGUAUUUGUGUAUGUUACAUGACCGAAAUACAACUUUAUAGUUUUGUAUAAUUGUCUUUUACAUCACUUAUAAGAAAGGAAUAUCACUAUGUAAUUAUAUAGGUCUAAUUAUCUACAUAAUUGUUUUAACUGAAUAUCAGUAUUUUUUCCAUAUUUAUUUUAUAUUUUAUAAGUCUGGCAUCACCCCGUUUAUGCUGAAGAGCUUUGUUUAGAAUUUCUUAUUGCAGAAUUCAUAAAGAUUAUUUCAGUUUCAGUUCAUCUGGGAAUGUCUUCGUUUGGCCUUCAUUUUGAAAGAUAGCUCUGCUGGAUAUAGGAACCUUGGUUGUCGGUUCAUUUCUUUAUUUGCUUCAGCACUUUGAAUAUGUCACCCCAUGGCAUGCUGGCAAUGUUUUUCUUGAAAUGUCUGCUGUUGGUCUUAUUGGUGUUCAUUUCUAUGUAAUGAUUCACUCUUUUUCUUUUUUAAUUUUUUAAAUAAUUCUUUAUGUUAAUUUAUUUUUGAGAGACAGAGAACGAGAGAGAGAGUGUGUGUGUG
Felis catus (domestic cat) is the source of this 3249-nucleotide long non-coding RNA. RefSeq lists it as uncharacterized. The record is from RefSeq and is a predicted model, not a curated record. The transcript has 8 exons. Lineage: Eukaryota; Metazoa; Chordata; Mammalia; Carnivora; Felidae.